UGUACUGGUACCAGAUCGUAGAGUUUGAUCCUGGCUCAGUAAGUCGUAUCAGGGUAACCAGUCGAAUAGUUUAUUAACACGUGGGCAAUCUGCCCUGCACUCUGGGACAAGCCCUGGAAACGGGGUCUAAUACCGGAUACUGAUCCUCGCAGGCAUCUGCGAGGUUCGAAAGCUCCGGCGGUGCAGGAUGAGCCCGCGGCCUAUCAGCUAGUUGGUGAGGUAACGGCUCACCAAGGCGACGACGGGUAGCCGGCCUGAGAAGGGCGACCGGCCCACACUGGGACUGAGACACGGGCCCAGACUCCUACGGGAGGCAGCAGUGGGGAAUAUUGCACAAUGGGCGAAAGCCUGAUGCAGCGACGCCGCGUGAGGGAUGACGGCCUUUCGGGUUGUAAACCUCUUUCAGCAGGGAAGAAGCGAAAGUGACGGUACCUGCAGAAGAAGCGCCGGCUAACUACGUGCCAGCAGCCGCGGUAAUACGUAGGGCGCAAGCGUUGUCCGGAAUUAUUGGGCGUAAAGAGCUCGUAGGCGGCUUGUCACGUCGGUUGUGAAAGCCCGGGGCUUAACCCCGGGUCUGCAGUCGAUACGGGCAGGCUAGAGUUCGGUAGGGGAGAUCGGAAUUCCUGGUGUAGCGGUGAAAUGCGCAGAUAUCAGGAGGAACACCGGUGGCGAAGGCGGAUCUCUGGGCCGAUACUGACGCUGAGGAGCGAAAGCGUGGGGAGCGAACAGGAUUAGAUACCCUGGUAGUCCACGCCGUAAACGGUGGGCACUAGGUGUGGGCAACAUUCCACGUUGUCCGUGCCGCAGCUAACGCAUUAAGUGCCCCGCCUGGGGAGUACGGCCGCAAGGCUAAAACUCAAAGGAAUUGACGGGGGCCCGCACAAGCGGCGGAGCAUGUGGCUUAAUUCGACGCAACGCGAAGAACCUUACCAAGGCUUGACAUACACCGGAAAACCCUGGAGACAGGGUCCCCCUUGUGGUCGGUGUACAGGUGGUGCAUGGCUGUCGUCAGCUCGUGUCGUGAGAUGUUGGGUUAAGUCCCGCAACGAGCGCAACCCUUGUCCCGUGUUGCCAGCAGGCCCUUGUGGUGCUGGGGACUCACGGGAGACCGCCGGAGUCAACUCGGAGGAAGGUGGGGACGACGUCAAGUCAUCAUGCCCCUUAUGUCUUGGGCUGCACACGUGCUACAAUGGCCGGUACAAUGAGCUGCGAUGCCGCGAGGUGGAGCGAAUCUCAAAAAGCCGGUCUCAGUUCGGAUUGGGGUCUGCAACUCGACCCCAUGAAGUCGGAGUCGCUAGUAAUCGCAGAUCAGCAUUGCUGCGGUGAAUACGUUCCCGGGCCUUGUACACACCGCCAGUCGUGUCAAGAAAGUCGGUUAUAGUGUUUGAUCCUGGCUCCAUAAGUCGUAACAAGGAACCAGUUGUAGAGU
RNAcentral lists this ribosomal RNA (1429 nucleotides) under Streptomyces rochei. RNAcentral describes it as "bacterial SSU rRNA". It matches the Rfam family "Bacterial small subunit ribosomal RNA". Lineage: Bacteria; Bacillati; Actinomycetota; Actinomycetes; Kitasatosporales; Streptomycetaceae. The record is from RNAcentral.